Molecule: long non-coding RNA, 2189 nt
Filed under: Homo sapiens (human)
Lineage: Eukaryota; Metazoa; Chordata; Mammalia; Primates; Hominidae
Source: RNAcentral
CUGCGAUGCCUAGGAGGACCAGCUCCUCUUCCUGGUGUUUCUGGAACAGGCCUCGAGGGUCGUCGCCCACAGUACGGCCUAGAAGGCCAGAGGAGGGCUUGGCCAGUGACUUUUGGUGAGCGCCUCUUCUCGCCCCUGCCAGGAGAGCCUCAUCACUCCGUCCUUCUGUGUGACCCCUGCCUCUUCAGCAUCACGCCCCUCCCCCAGGCUCCAGCCACUUUGUGCCAGCUGCAGCCACAGCCCCUUCGACACUCCCAAAGAGCCCUGCGCUCCAGGUUCCAGCACCCCCAUCCUGCGCCCUCUUCUCCACACGCGCAUCCCCCCAGCUUCUCUCGCACCCCAGAGGCCUCCUGACACCCCCAGCCCCGCGCUUACUGGUGCCUUCAGGCAGGCUCAGGACGCCGUCGACCUCCACCCAGCGGUAACAAGGGAACCUGACCUCGUCCCCGGCUCCGGGGCCCUACACGGAGAUCCAGCUGCAGAACCUGAAGGAAGUGACGUUUGCGCAGUUUCACAAACAUCAGCGGCCCCAGGUGAUAAAGCCUGAAAGGUAGAGAUCCAACAGCGCUAGCGGUUGAAACGUUUUUUAAAAUAGAGAAAGCGAGAGGACCGACGGCGGCUCCGGUGACUGCUGAGUUUCCAGACAAGGGAGCUCUGUGCAAUGAGGGGCGCACAGGAGCAUGCCCUCAAUUCCAAGAAGAUCAGGUAGCCGGAAAAUUUAUUAAGCGCUUACUGUGUGCCACCUGCGUGUUUUCUGUCCAAAUCAGAAAAGGAUUUGGACAGAAAACACGCAGGAAGAAGGAAUCAACCCCUGGUACAGCAGGCAGGCGAGGUAGGGGUAGGAGUUAUGCACGUGUAUGCAAGCCUGGAUGGCUGGGAAGCCAACCUCCAUCUAAAGGCAAGCGCGGACAUGCACACACACACACACGCCUCACAAGUUGGAUUGCAAGAGAGGGUGAAGUGGGCGAGGAGACCCAGUCAGCCGUGGCAUUUGAGGAAGGUACAUUUAGGCCACCGAAUUCAUUCCACCAACUUUGCACACUUGUCUUCCUUGUGCCAGGCUCUGGGACUCAUUCCUUUUGAGGGUAAAAGUCUGCCUCCCUGGACUCCUGCCCCUCAGGCGCUCCCACAGCCCGGCACCGCCCCCUCGCCAUUCCGGAGCCAGCGCGGGCUAAGCGGGCCUGGCCGGGGAUGAGCGGAGCCACCGUCCCCAUAUUCCUCGGUGCCCCGGGACCGCAAGAGGGAGCCGUGGUUUCCGGAACUCCUCCCGCCCCUCCGGGCUUUUCCUCUGUUAGGCAGGUGGCGAUUCGCUGUCUUUGCCUGUUAUGGCCGCUGCCGUCGCCCUGGAGACAGGUAACCCUCUUCCAUGACUGUUCCUUAAAGUGGUGCGCUGUCCCAGUAGACCAUGCUCUAGCUUUCCAAGCUGCUAGAACUGUCAGUGUUUCUCAGCCUUGGCACUAUUGACAUUUUGGGACCAGUGAUUCUUCAUCGUUGGCAGAGGGGAGGGUGUUGACCUGUGCACUGUAGGAUGUCAGGUGGCAUCCCCGGACUCUACCCGCUAGGUGCCAGUAGCACCUAAUGUGCCACCCACCCCCUCCCAACAACUUUUCAACCAAACUAAAAUGUCUCUAGAGGUUGCCAUAUAUCCUCUGGGGGACAAAAUCACACUUAGUUGAGAACCACUGUCCCACAUUCUACACACAGAAGCCAAAAGGAUAUUUUUUAAAUGUAAAUGGCAUCAUGUCGUUCCCCUGUUGGAAACCCUUCAAUGUUUUCCUGUUGACCUUAGAAUAAUCUCAAAUUCCUUACUGUGGCUUAGAAGACCUUCUGUGGACUGGCCCCUGCUUGCUUUUAACUCCUCUCUUCCGUUCUGCUUCCAUGUCUAUAUAAUUGCUUCUCUCUCACUCCAGCCACACUGGCCUUCUUUCUGUUCCUUGAACAUUCAAAGCUGGUUCCCAUCCACCCUUUGUAUUUGCUGUUCUUCUGCCUAGAAUGCACCUGUUCCAGAUCACUGUUCAUUCACACAUAUCUCAGAUUACAUGUUAACUAAUCAGCAAGGCCUUCCCUGACCAUUUUAUCAAAAGAAGCCACUUACUUCCAUUCUCUAUCACAUUACCCAUGUAUUUCCUUCAUAGUGCUAAUCACAAUAGAAAAUUGUCUUGUUUCAUCAUUGCUUGUCUGCCUUUUCA